Molecule: ribosomal RNA, 1412 nt
Filed under: Enterococcus mundtii
Lineage: Bacteria; Bacillati; Bacillota; Bacilli; Lactobacillales; Enterococcaceae
Description: bacterial SSU rRNA
Rfam family: Bacterial small subunit ribosomal RNA
Source: RNAcentral
CCGGAGCUUGCUCCACCGGGAAAAGAGGAGUGGCGAACGGGUGAGUAACACGUGGGUAACCUGCCCAUCAGAAGGGGAUAACACUUGGAAACAGGUGCUAAUACCGUAUAACAAUCGAAACCGCAUGGUUUCGUUUUGAAAGGCGCUUUACGGUGCCGCUGAUGGAUGGACCCGCGGUGCAUUAGCUAGUUGGUGAGGUAACGGCUCACCAAGGCCACGAUGCAUAGCCGACCUGAGAGGGUGAUCGGCCACAUUGGGACUGAGACACGGCCCAAACUCCUACGGGAGGCAGCAGUAGGGAAUCUUCGGCAAUGGACGAAAGUCUGACCGAGCAACGCCGCGUGAGUGAAGAAGGUUUUCGGAUCGUAAAACUCUGUUGUUAGAGAAGAACAAGGGUGAGAGUAACUGUUCACCCCUUGACGGUAUCUAACCAGAAAGCCACGGCUAACUACGUGCCAGCAGCCGCGGUAAUACGUAGGUGGCAAGCGUUGUCCGGAUUUAUUGGGCGUAAAGCGAGCGCAGGCGGUUUCUUAAGUCUGAUGUGAAAGCCCCCGGCUCAACCGGGGAGGGUCAUUGGAAACUGGGAGACUUGAGUGCAGAAGAGGAGAGUGGAAUUCCAUGUGUAGCGGUGAAAUGCGUAGAUAUAUGGAGGAACACCAGUGGCGAAGGCGGCUCUCUGGUCUGUAACUGACGCUGAGGCUCGAAAGCGUGGGGAGCAAACAGGAUUAGAUACCCUGGUAGUCCACGCCGUAAACGAUGAGUGCUAAGUGUUGGAGGGUUUCCGCCCUUCAGUGCUGCAGCUAACGCAUUAAGCACUCCGCCUGGGGAGUACGACCGCAAGGUUGAAACUCAAAGGAAUUGACGGGGGCCCGCACAAGCGGUGGAGCAUGUGGUUUAAUUCGAAGCAACGCGAAGAACCUUACCAGGUCUUGACAUCCUUUGACCACUCUAGAGAUAGAGCUUCCCCUUCGGGGGCAAAGUGACAGGUGGUGCAUGGUUGUCGUCAGCUCGUGUCGUGAGAUGUUGGGUUAAGUCCCGCAACGAGCGCAACCCUUAUUGUUAGUUGCCAUCAUUUAGUUGGGCACUCUAGCAAGACUGCCGGUGACAAACCGGAGGAAGGUGGGGAUGACGUCAAAUCAUCAUGCCCCUUAUGACCUGGGCUACACACGUGCUACAAUGGGAAGUACAACGAGUCGCGAAGUCGCGAGGCUAAGCUAAUCUCUUAAAGCUUCUCUCAGUUCGGAUUGUAGGCUGCAACUCGCCUACAUGAAGCCGGAAUCGCUAGUAAUCGCGGAUCAGCACCGCCGCGGUGAAUACGUUCCCGGGGCCUUGUACACACCGCCCGUCACACCACGGAGAGUUUGUAACACCCGAAGUCGGUGAGGUAACCUUUUUGGAGCCAGCCGCCUAAG